UGCGUAUCAUGCGCUGGGCUAGCAGGAGGUAAGAAGUGCUACACUCUCGGUCCAGAUACAAAAUCAAAGACGGUCUACCCAGAUCAGGCCCCUGUUCAUCUUAACACACCAAUAGAAAGACACAACGCAGAGUUGAAACUUGGACUGGUCACACUAAUAACCAAAUAACUCGUUGUUCAGCUUACACAUCUAAAAACAACAUCAGAAAUGGAUAAUUGAAAUCCUGCCACCUCCCAUUGAUUCCCCCAUUACUCAGCCUUCAGAUAAGGAUCGCAGGUCAGGAUCAGCUCGGAUAAAGACAGAGGACGACAUUAUUCAACAGUGUGAAUAAUUGAGCAGCCUUGCAAUCACUUUCCGGAAAGGAAUGGGAAGAUCACGGCAACGAUCAGGCUUAUCACAUGGCGCCGCGGGUCUGUAACCUCUGACAGAGAUGUCUGCCUUGCUGGUGUGUUGGAGACGGGUGAUAGAGGAAAGGUACAUCGUCCAUCAUCAUGCAGAGAAGUCAGAAGAACCUUCAUAUCAGCGG
Xiphophorus couchianus (Monterrey platyfish) is the source of this 526-nucleotide long non-coding RNA. RefSeq lists it as uncharacterized. The transcript has 3 exons. NCBI's taxonomy places the organism in Eukaryota, Metazoa, Chordata, Actinopteri, Cyprinodontiformes, Poeciliidae. The record is from RefSeq and is a predicted model, not a curated record.